AUUGAGUUUGAUCCUGGCUCAGGAUGAACGCUGGCGGCGUGCCUAAUACAUGCAAGUCGAACGAGGUGCUUGAGUAGCAAUACAAGAGUAUCCUAGUGGCGAACGGGUGAGUAACGCGUGGAUGACCUGCCCCAAAGUGUGGGAUAACAGUCCGAAAGGAUUGCUAAUACCUCAUGUGGUUAUUGGAUUUAGAAACUGAUAACUAAAGCAGCAAUGCGCUUUGGGAGGGAUCUGCGUCCCAUCAGCUAGUUGGUGAGGUAACGGCUCACCAAGGCUACGACGGGUAGGGGACCUGAGAGGGUGGCCCCCCACAAUGGAACUGAAACACGGUCCAUACACCUACGGGUGGCAGCAGUAGGGAAUAUUGCUCAAUGGGCGAAAGCCUGAAGCAGCAACGCCGCGUGUGCGAUGAAGGCCUUCGGGUCGUAAAGCACUUUUCUGAGAGAUGAGAAAGGACAGUAUCUCAGGAAUAAGUCUCGGCUAACUACGUGCCAGCAGCCGCGGUAAAACGUAGGAGGCGAGCGUUAUCCGGAUUCACUGGGCGUAAAGCGCGUGCAGGCGGCUCGGUAAGUUGGGCGUGAAAUCUCCUGGCUUAACUAGGAGAGGUCGUUCAAUACUACCGGGCUUGAGAGUGGUAGAGGAAGAUGGAAUUCCAGGUGUAGUGGUGAAAUGCGUAGAUAUCUGGAGGAACACCAGUGGCGAAAGCGAUCUUCUGGACCAUUUCUGACGCUCAGACGCGAAAGCUAGGGUAGUAAACGGGAUUAGAGACCCCGGUAAUCCUAGCCGUAAACGAUGUAAACUUGGCGUCGGUGGCUUAAACUCCAUCGGUGCCGCAGCUAACGCGAUAAGU
RNAcentral lists this ribosomal RNA (850 nucleotides) under uncultured bacterium. Its description in RNAcentral is "bacterial SSU rRNA". It matches the Rfam family "Bacterial small subunit ribosomal RNA", at positions 1 to 865 of the family's 1533-position model. The record is from RNAcentral.